CACGUAUUUAGCCGGGGCUUCUUAGUCAGGUACCGUCAUUUUCUUCCCUGCUGAUAGGGCUUUACAUGCCGAAGCACUCCAUCGCCCACGCGGCGUCGCUGCAUCAGGGUUCCCCCCAUUGUGCAAUAUCCCCCACUGCUGCCUCCCGUAGGAGUCUGGGCCGUGUCUCAGUCCCAAUGUGGCCGCCACCCUCUCAGGCCGGCUACUGAUCGUCGCCUUGGUGGGCCGUUGCCCCGCCAACCAGCUAAUCAGACGCGGGCCCAUCCUGCACCGCCGGAGCUUCCCCCGCCGCCCCAUGCGGGGCUGCGGGCAUAUGCGGUAUUAGCAGCCGUUUCCGGCUGUUGUCCCCCAGUGCAGGGCAGGUUGCCCACGCGUUACUCACCCGUCCGCCACUGGGCAGCGCCGGCUUCCGCUCCGAAAAGCCUCAGCCUGCGCGCCCCGUUCGACUUGCAUGUGUUAGGCACGCCGCCAGCGUUCAUCCUGAGCCAGGAUCAAA
RNAcentral lists this ribosomal RNA (496 nucleotides) under uncultured Lachnospiraceae bacterium. RNAcentral's name for it is "partial 16S ribosomal RNA". The record is from RNAcentral. Lineage: Bacteria; Bacillati; Bacillota; Clostridia; Lachnospirales; Lachnospiraceae.